CCUACGGGUGGCAGCAGUGAGGAAUAUUGGUCAAUGGACGAGAGUCUGAACCAGCCAAGUAGCGUGAAUGAUGACUGCCCUAUGGGUUGUAAACUUCUUUUAUAUAGGAAUAAAAUGUUCCACGUGUGGGUUUUUGUAUGUACCAUAUGAAUAAGGAUCGGCUAACUCCGUGCCAGCAGCCGCGGUAAUACGGAGGAUACGAGCGUUAUCCGGAUGUAUUGGGUUUAAAGGGAACGCAGGUGGGUUGUUAAGUCAGUUGUGAAAGUUUGCGGCUCAACCGUAAUAUUGCAGUUGAAACUGGCAGUCUUGAGUACAGUAGAGGUGGGCGGAAUUCGGGGUGUAGCGGUGAAAUGCUUAGAUAUCACGAAGAACUCCGAUUGCGAAAGCAGUUCACUGGACUGUAACUGACACUGAGGCUCGAAAGUGUGGGUAUCAAACAGGAUUAGAUACCCGAGUAGUC
Molecule: ribosomal RNA, 460 nt
Filed under: uncultured bacterium
Lineage: Bacteria
Description: partial 16S ribosomal RNA
Rfam family: Bacterial small subunit ribosomal RNA
Source: RNAcentral